AUCGGCUCCUCCGCUACACGCACACACGCACGCCGCCCAUUCGUGCGUCGGCACCGUCUGUGCGUCGCAGCGCCGUUCUUGUUUUGCUGACUUCGCCCUCGUUCUAUUCGUUGGUCACGCCCCUCCCACCAUCAUCCCUCGAGCACACAGACGUGCUCAGAUCGGCUGGGCGGUGCUAUGCGUCUCGCCGCAGCAAUCACAGGGCCACAGCUCCCCGGCGGUCCUUGACACGGCGUCGCCGACCUUGCCCUCGAUGCUGUGCGCACGGGAAGGCAGAGAGGCGUUCAGCCACAACCUGAAAAGCGCCGGCACUUGUGUUGUGCCGGACAAGUCACCUCACAGCGGCGACGGCAGCGCCACUGCAGGGAGCACGGAUGCAGGCACAAGAGAUGGUAGCGGCUGUUUUGCAUGCCUCUGUCACUCUUUCCACUGUCGUCUCUCCGCCGACGAAACCGCCGCCGCUGCCCAACAGCUCACAACGCCAACGACCAAGUACGAGCAGCUGAUAUGCGAGCUGGCCAUGUGGGAGCGCGAGCUUCGGCAGCAGCUCGUGCGCCAUGAGCAGGAAGAGCUGAUACAGAUGGUGUUGGGUGAGGAAAAGACAUUGUUCCCCGCCAUGGCGGCCCUCCGCGACGCGAACACCCUUAGCUUGAUGGAGGAGGAGGCGCUGUGGCGUUGGGGCAUACAAAAAGAUUACCAUCACUUUCUCCACGACGUGAUGCAGGUGCUGGAGGUGCUGCACCGCCGCUCUUUGGCCUUCGCCGAGGAGCCCCGGUGCCGCAAGCAGAUUGAAAACUCCGAAGGGCAACACUGGAUUGCGGCGCGGCGGCGGCAGGUGAUGCGCGAGACGCAGGAAGCCGCCGCGGCGGAAAAGGAGGACCGAGUGAUGCGCCUGGCAUACUUUGCGCACAUCCAGCGGCAGCUCUACCAGAUCUUCUUGCUGGAGGAAAGUGAGCGGGAUGACCGGAUGGAGGUGGAGCGGCUGCAGCGGCUGUAUGCCGGUAGCCUUGUGGCGGCGAUGGCGAAGGAGUACCGCCACGCGCGUCUCUGUCAGCUGAAGUAUGAGGCAAGGCGUUUUGAACUGCAACCCGAGGUCACGCGUGACAUGAUCGCUGACGAGGCUCUGCAUCGCUCGUGGCUGUGCCAGGACCAGGCGCUGAGCUUCAAGAAGAUGCAGGCGGAUGAGAUCCGAAGCUACCUCGCCUCCGCCCGGCAAGAGCUUCUCAACCAACGCGUGGAGGAAGGCUGAUCUGGCGAUGGCACGUGCAGCAACAACUCUGUUGCCCACCGUUCAGCGUCCUCAACCUCCUUCUCAUGCGCGUCCGCAUACACGCACGGCAUCCUUGAGCCGUGCGGCUUCCGAAGUCUUCUCUCGCCGACGUGCUUCCUUCUUCCGUAAUGUGUUUACUUUCCUCUGUGUACAUAGCCGUGGCGUCUCGGCGACGCCUUCUCUUUCUCGGUCUCUCGGUCGACGAUGUGCCUUUCUCGCUGUGCCGUCAUCGCCGCGGGGUGCGACGCUCUCUCGUUGCUGUGAUCUGGAGAGAGGCGCGCAGCACACACACGCAUCUGUCUCUCUCUCUCCGUCUCCCCUUGUGGUCAGAAGGGGGUCGCUGGCGAUGUAGGCGCUUCAUGCGAGUCCAACAGCGUGCGUGUGGCGUGUACGGGUUAUUACGCGAGUGGAAGAAGGCAAACCCUCGUCUUCCUUCCGCAGCGUUCGUUCUGUUCUGUUUCGGAGCGACCUGCGACGACACACACGUUGGCGCCGUCCACAUCAUGGGCGGGGUGUCGGCGUGACUCAGGUGUAUGCCACCCCCAGCCCUGACUGCCCUGCUGGUGGGGUGGGGGGAAGCCCGAGGAGCAUGGAGUGGGCAGAGCUUGCGGCAGGGGCGCUGCUGCGGUGACGGAUUCGGCGCACUGCUGUACCGCGCGUGUCUGGCGGCUGCCUCGCACUGGAUGGCGGGGGCGUGUGACGGAUGCUGCACGGCCGCGGACUGGACGCGUUGGAAAGUACCUCACAUAUGGAAUGGGCUCUUGGAAACGAUGGGAGCGCAGCGGAGAGGUGCUGCGAGUCCUACGGCCCCGCCCGACGCCCCCUCCUCCGCCGCCGCCAUCACCGCUUUAUCCCCAUUUCUUCUCUCUCAACUUACGACACACAG
This 2156-nucleotide unclassified non-coding RNA is filed under the name Leishmania donovani. RNAcentral's name for it is "gene:LdHU3.16.1470(CDS-product:hypothetical_prote in_conserved)". The record is from RNAcentral. Lineage: Eukaryota; Euglenozoa; Kinetoplastea; Trypanosomatida; Trypanosomatidae.